GCUGACGAGUGGCGGACGGGUGAGUAAUGUCUGGGAAACUGCCUGAUGGAGGGGGAUAACUACUGGAAACGGUGGCUAAUACCGCAUAACGUCGCAAGACCAAAGAGGGGGACCUUCGGGCCUCUUGCCAUCAGAUGUGCCCAGAUGGGAUUAGCUUGUUGGUGAGGUAACGGCUCACCAAGGCGACGAUCCCUAGCUGGUCUGAGAGGAUGACCAGCCACACUGGAACUGAGACACGGUCCAGACUCCUACGGGAGGCAGCAGUGGGGAAUAUUGCACAAUGGGCGCAAGCCUGAUGCAGCCAUGCCGCGUGUAUGAAGAAGGCCUUCGGGUUGUAAAGUACUUUCAGCGGGGAGGAAGGUGUUGUGGUUAAUAACCGCAGCAAUUGACGUUACCCGCAGAAGAAGCACCGGCUAACUCCGUGCCAGCAGCCGCGGUAAUACGGAGGGUGCAAGCGUUAAUCGGAAUUACUGGGCGUAAAGCGCACGCAGGCGGUCUGUCAAGUCGGAUGUGAAAUCCCCGGGCUCAACCUGGGAACUGCAUUCGAAACUGGCAGGCUUGAGUCUUGUAGAGGGGGGUAGAAUUCCAGGUGUAGCGGUGAAAUGCGUAGAGAUCUGGAGGAAUACCGGUGGCGAAGGCGGCCCCCUGGACAAAGACUGACGCUCAGGUGCGAAAGCGUGGGGAGCAAACAGGAUUAGAUACCCUGGUAGUCCACGCCGUAAACGAUGUCUACUUGGAGGUUGUGCCCUUGAGGCGUGGCUUCCGGAGCUAACGCGUUAAGUAGACCGCCUGGGGAGUACGGCCGCAAGGUUAAAACUCAAAUGAAUUGACGGGGGCCCGCACAAGCGGUGGAGCAUGUGGUUUAAUUCGAUGCAACGCGAAGAACCUUACCUGGUCUUGACAUCCACGGAAGUUUUCAGAGAUGAGAAUGUGCCUUCGGGAACCGUGAGACAGGUGCUGCAUGGCUGUCGUCAGCUCGUGUUGUGAAAUGUUGGGUUAAGUCCCGCAACGAGCGCAACCCUUAUCCUUUGUUGCCAGCGGUCCGGCCGGGAACUCAAAGGAGACUGCCAGUGAUAAACUGGAGGAAGGUGGGGAUGACGUCAAGUCAUCAUGGCCCUUACGACCAGGGCUACACACGUGCUACAAUGGCGCAUACAAAGAGAAGCGACCUCGCGAGAGCAAGCGGACCUCAUAAAGUGCGUCGUAGUCCGGAUUGGAGUCUGCAACUCGACUCCAUGAAGUCGGAAUCGCUAGUAAUCGUGGAUCAGAAUGCCACGGUGAAUACGUUCCCGGGCCUUGUACACACCGCCCGUCACACCAUGGGAGUGGGUUGCAAAAGAAGUAGGUAGCUUAACCUUCGGGAGGGCGCUUACCACUUUGUGAUUCAUGACUGGGGUGAAGUCGUAACAAGGUAACCGUAGGGGAACCUGCGGUUGGAUCACCUCCUUACCUUAAAGAAGC
This 1461-nucleotide ribosomal RNA is filed under the name Salmonella enterica subsp. enterica serovar Give. RNAcentral describes it as "bacterial SSU rRNA". It matches the Rfam family "Bacterial small subunit ribosomal RNA". The record is from RNAcentral. Lineage: Bacteria; Pseudomonadati; Pseudomonadota; Gammaproteobacteria; Enterobacterales; Enterobacteriaceae.